UUUUUUGUGUUUUUUCCUUCACAACCAAGUUUCCCUCCCACUUAAUGCAUGUAUAAAUCUCCUCCAUAACUGAUAAUACGCUCUCAAUCUUAUCUCAACUAUCACUCUAUUAGCGUAUUAUUUAUAGCUGUGUGUUUGAUCGAUCAGAUCAGAUAUCAGAUGGCAGAUUGGGGCCCGGUUUUUGUAUCGGUUUUGUUGUUUGCAUUGUUAUCGCCGGGAUUGUUGUUUCAGUUGCCGGGACGUGGUCGUUGUGUUGAGUUUUGCUGUUUUCAGACAAGUGGUGUCGCCAUACUCGUUCACACCAUUCUCUACUUUUCUAUCAUUUGUCUUUUCACCUUUGCCAUCCAAGUUCAUCUUUAUCUUGGCUAAAGCUCUAAACUCAUCGAUCGUUUUGCCUACUUUCUUUUUUAUGGUACGUGGACUUGUUUGUUGUACAUUUUUUUUAAGGUUGAGUGGACCUGUACUUUUUUACUUUUGAAUAAUUGUAUAUCUAUCCUAAUAAAUGAAAAUGUUUUUGCCAAAUGUCAUGUUCUCAUUUAGUUUGAUAAAUGUUUUUCUUGUGCUUUCAAUUUUCUUAAAUUUAAAAGUAAAUUCCAUAUUUUAUGCGAGUUUAUUUAUGUUAUGUAGAAUCAUUAAAUUAAAUUUCAAUAACCAUACCAAAAAAAAACGUACAACUACAAAUUGGGGCAAUAAUCAAUUCUUCCAUAAUUAAAUGUUUACACAUCAUAAUUUUCACUUAUACAAUAACUUUUUCAAAACAAAAAAUGUUAUGGAAUCCAAUUAUAAACAAAAAAAUUAGUUUUCAUUUAUUACGGUAGAUAUAUUGAAAAACUUGAUCCUUAUUAUUUUAUAUUCAACUUUUUUAAAUAAACUCGUGUAAUACACGGGUUACGUAAUAAUCAUAAUCUUAGAUUGCAACUUCUACAAAAGAGGAAACAAUUCAUUUACCAAAAUAUAAAUUAUGAUAUCAUUUUUUGCGUUGGAGAAAUCGACUAGAAGAAAUAAGAGGGUGUGUGUCUUUUCUUUUAAAUCAACUUUUUGACUUUUAACUUUUCCAAAAAGUUAAAAAAGUCCAAAAGUUGUUUGGUAAUGAAAAAGAACUUUUAAAACCAAUUUUUACCAAAGCACAAAAACUAACAUUUGCAAAAGUCAUAUCCGUGACUUUUUGUCUUUUUGAACUUUGGAGUAAUCCCAAACACUUUUUAAACAUCUUUUGGAAAAAGAUCUUUUAUAAAAAAAUCUUUUUAUAAAAAAGAUUUUUCUCUUCAAAAAAGAAUCUGAAACAACCCCUAAAGAAAGAAGAAUGUAAGGUGAUAAUAAAACUUGGAUAUCUAAAUGAGUUGCGCAAAGACAUUUUUGCCUUGGUAAUAUUUCAAUCAUAUUUUCUUUGGGUAUCAUGAAAUUCACCAAUCAAAAUGAUAACUAUCAGUUUAGGCAAUGGCCGAUUCAAACCGAUUUGAGGCCCUGAACAAAAUAAAAAAUAAGUUUUUUUUUUGCUGUGACGAUUUAAUACCGAAAGUCUUUCUCUUUUAUUUAUUUAUUUAUUUCUAAAAUAAUAUAAUUAUAUACAUAAAAAUGUGUCCGGAAACUUGGAGGCCCUGGGCCAUCACCCAUGCUGCCUUAUCCUCUCAUACGGCCGUGGUUUAGCCAAUAAAAUGAAAGUAGUGUUAUCUCGUUGUUACAAAGAUUAAAGAAAACAAAUGCCUCUUUGUUUCUAGUGUAAAUAUACAAGUUGUUUCAUUCAAAUUAGUAGACAAACAUCAUAAAUAGAAAUAGCUAAUAUCUGGUCAUGUACCAUUUCAGGACCAAAUGCUUCAGGUUGAAUUAGUUGCAUGUGUCUUUGCUAAUUAAUCACAUGAUUCUAUAGAUUGAUUUGUGUUAUAACCAGACGAAUGUCAAUUUGUACCAGACGAAUGUUAAUCUGUACGUUGUGC
RNAcentral lists this long non-coding RNA (1934 nucleotides) under Lactuca sativa (garden lettuce). Its description in RNAcentral is "long non-coding RNA (LSAT_LNC003222)". Lineage: Eukaryota; Viridiplantae; Streptophyta; Magnoliopsida; Asterales; Asteraceae. The record is from RNAcentral.